AUUGAACGCUGGCGGCAGGCCUAACACAUGCAAGUCGAGCGGAUGAAGGGAGCUUGCUCCUGGAUUCAGCGGCGGACGGGUGAGUAAUGCCUAGGAAUCUGCCUGGUAGUGGGGGAUAACGUCCGGAAACGGGCGCUAAUACCGCAUACGUCCUGAGGGAGAAAGUGGGGGAUCUUCGGACCUCACGCUAUCAGAUGAGCCUAGGUCGGAUUAGCUAGUUGGUGGGGUAAAGGCCUACCAAGGCGACGAUCCGUAACUGGCCUGAGAGGAUGAUCAGUCACCCUGGAACUGGAGCCCGGUCCCGCCCCCUACGGGAGGCACCAUGGGGGAAUUUUGGACAAUGGGCGAAAGCCUGAUCCCGCCAUUCCGCGGGUGUGAAGAAGGUUUUCGGAUUGUAAAGCACUUUAAGGUGGGAGGAAGGGCAGUAAGUUAAUACCUUGCUGUUUUGACGUUACCAACAGAAUAAGCACCGGCUAACUUCGU
This 483-nucleotide ribosomal RNA is filed under the name uncultured bacterium. Its description in RNAcentral is "partial 16S ribosomal RNA". It matches the Rfam family "Bacterial small subunit ribosomal RNA", at positions 30 to 506 of the family's 1533-position model. The record is from RNAcentral.